Long non-coding RNA from Sitodiplosis mosellana (orange wheat blossom midge), 693 nucleotides. RefSeq lists it as uncharacterized. The record is from RefSeq and is a predicted model, not a curated record. Lineage: Eukaryota; Metazoa; Arthropoda; Insecta; Diptera; Cecidomyiidae. The transcript has 2 exons.
AUGAUGACCAGGCUCACGGUACCAUCGUACCACAUACACUCGCAACGUUUCGAUACCGUAAUCGGGCGGAUACCACGAUACAAUAAACUCAUCACCCACCUAUAAUGCGAAAAAUACUGCAAUUAAUUAAGGUUUUGUGUGUCUAUCUGUUAAAUUGGUGUACCUACAUCAGUUUGCUGAACCGUAACAUUCUUCGGCGGCCCAACUUGUGCAAAAUGCAUUACUGGCUCGUUUAGCUGAUCCGGCGAAUCAGUAAAGUACUCGGAAGCUUUUUUGGGAGGAAAAAAAGAAAAGGAAUGUGGAAAUUGUUUUUAAAAUUUCAUUUAACUAUUUGGCCAAAAAUAUAUUCGAAAAAAGGAUUAAACAUAGGGUUAUGGUGUAUCAAAAGAAUUCUCUUGUUUGAACAUUUUUUUUCUUCGAAAGGAUUUUUCACAUGAAAUAUUUGUUUGUCAGUAUUUUUUUUAAAACACUUUUCAUGGAAAUAAUCAAAAUAAAAAAAAAAUCAAAUUCUACGCGAAUUCACAACAUUUUCCAAGAGAAUUCUUCUGAACAUUUUUAUUUACACUCGAAAAGCAACGACGACAACAACAACAACAAAAAGUUCAAUCAAAACACAUGUUAAAUCAGUCAACGUUAAAACACAACAAAUAUGUAUUUAUUCAACAACACAAUAAAAUUCGAUAGGUUCAAGUG